CACCACAAGAUGAGAUUUCUUUAAAGGGCCGUUGAAGAUGACAACGUUGAUAGGCUAUAGAUGUAAAGGCAGUAAUGUCAAAGUCGAGUAGUACUAAUAGCCCGUAAGCUUAUGUGAAU
This 119-nucleotide ribosomal RNA is filed under the name Myroides sp. WP-1. Its description in RNAcentral is "partial 23S ribosomal RNA". It matches the Rfam family "Bacterial large subunit ribosomal RNA", at positions 2795 to 2925 of the family's 2925-position model. Lineage: Bacteria; Pseudomonadati; Bacteroidota; Flavobacteriia; Flavobacteriales; Flavobacteriaceae. The record is from RNAcentral.